CUUCCUCCAAACAAUGCCGAUAUGCAUGUUAUUGUACUUCACUCAUCAUCCAAAGUGGCCAGAGAUUUUGCAAAACAAGGAGUCAAAUUAUGAGAUACAAUGGAUGGACAUUACAGUUUUGUUAAGUUUUCACAAGCAUAUCUUUUGUACAUUCUAUUCAGUCCUCUUAUCAUCUAGUUGAAAGCACAAAGACAACCUAUGGAAACGGAGCUACCGUUUCCAACCAUGG
RNAcentral lists this unclassified non-coding RNA (229 nucleotides) under Hevea brasiliensis (rubber tree). Lineage: Eukaryota; Viridiplantae; Streptophyta; Magnoliopsida; Malpighiales; Euphorbiaceae. The record is from RNAcentral.